CCUACGGGGGGCAGCAGGGGGAAUCUUGCACAAUGGGCGGAAGCCUGAUGCAGCGACGCCGCGUGAGGGACGAAGGUCUUCGGAUCGUAAACCUCUGUCCAAAGGGACGAAGGAGUGACGGUACCUUUGGAGGAAGCCCCGGCCAACUACGUGCCAGCAGCCGCGGUAAGACGUAGGGGGCGAGCGUUGUCCGGAAUCAUUGGGCGUAAAGGGCGCGUAGGCGGUGACGUAAGUCAGGCGUGAAAGGCAUCGGCUCAACCGACGCACAUAGCCUGAUACUACGUUGCUAGAGUGCAGGAGAGGAGAGUGGAAUUCCAGGUGUAGCGGUGAAAUGCGUAGAUAUCUGGAAGAACACCAGUGGCGAAGGCGGCUCUCUGGACUGUAACUGACGCUGAGGCGCGAAAGCUGGGGGAGCAAACAGGAUUAGAUACCCUGGUAGUCCCAGCCGUAAACGAUGAACACUAGGUGUAGGGGGUAUCGACCCCUCCUGUGCCGCAGUUAACGCAGUAAGUGUUCCGCCUGGGGAGUACGGCCGCAAGGCUGAAACUCAAAGGAAUUGACGGGGGCCCGCACAAGCGGUGGAGCAUGUGGUUUAAUUCGAUGCAACGCGAAGAACCUUACCAGGGCUUGACAUCCCUCUGACGGGUCUAGAGAUAGGCCUUCCCUUUGGGCAGAGGAGACAGGUGGUGCAUGGCUGUCGUCAGCUCGUGUCGUGAGAUGUUGGGUUAAGUCCCGCAACGAGCGCAACCCUUGCCUUUAGUUGCCAUCAUUAAGUUGGGCACUCUAGAGGGACUGCCGGCGACAAGUCGGA
Molecule: ribosomal RNA, 811 nt
Filed under: uncultured bacterium
Lineage: Bacteria
Description: bacterial SSU rRNA
Rfam family: Bacterial small subunit ribosomal RNA
Source: RNAcentral